GACGAACGCUGGCGGCGUGCUUAACACAUGCAAGUCGAACGGAAAGGCCCUGCUUUUGUGGGGUGCUCGAGUGGCGAACGGGUGAGUAACACGUGAGUAACCUGCCCUUGACUUUGGGAUAACUUCAGGAAACUGGGGCUAAUACCGGAUAGGAGCUCCUGCUGCAUGGUGGGGGUUGGAAAGUUUCGGCGGUUGGGGAUGGACUCGCGGCUUAUCAGCUUGUUGGUGGGGUAGUGGCUUACCAAGGCUUUGACGGGUAGCCGGGCUGAGAGGGUGACCGGCCACAUUGGGACUGAGAUACGGCACAGACUCCUACGGGAGGCAGCAGUGGGGAAUAUUGCACAAUGGGCGGAAGCCUGAUGCAGCAACGCCGCGUGCGGGAUGACGGCCUUCGGGUUGCAAACCGCUUUCGCCUGUGACGAAGCGUGAGUGACGGUAAUGGGUAAAGAAGCACCGGCUAACUACGUG
RNAcentral lists this ribosomal RNA (468 nucleotides) under uncultured bacterium. Its description in RNAcentral is "partial 16S ribosomal RNA". It matches the Rfam family "Bacterial small subunit ribosomal RNA", at positions 28 to 507 of the family's 1533-position model. The record is from RNAcentral.